UACGUAGGGCGCAAGCGUUGUCCGGAAUCAUUGGGCGUAAAGCGCGUGUAGGCGGUCCGGUAAGUCCGCUGUGAAAGUCGGGGGCUCAACCCUCGAAUGCCGGUGGAUACUGUCGGGCUAGAGUGCGGAAGAGGCGAGUGGAAUUCCUGGUGUAGCGGUGAAAUGCGCAGAUAUCAGGAGGAACACCAAUUGCGAAGGCAGCUCGCUGGGACGUUACUGACGCUGAGACGCGAAAGCGUGGGGAGCAAACAGG
Molecule: ribosomal RNA, 253 nt
Filed under: uncultured bacterium
Lineage: Bacteria
Description: partial 16S ribosomal RNA
Rfam family: Bacterial small subunit ribosomal RNA
Source: RNAcentral